AACACGACUCUCGACAACGGAUAUCUUGGCUCUCGCCACGAUGAAUAAUGUAGUGAAAUGUGAUCAUUAGUGUGAAUUGCAGAAUCCCAUGAAUCAUCGAGUCUUUGAACACAAGUUGCACUCGAGGCUCCAAUCGAGGGCACGUCUACGUGGGCAUCAUAG
This 162-nucleotide ribosomal RNA is filed under the name Taiwania cryptomerioides. RNAcentral's name for it is "5.8S ribosomal RNA". It matches the Rfam family "5.8S ribosomal RNA". From Rfam's summary of the family: 5.8S ribosomal RNA (5.8S rRNA) is a component of the large subunit of the eukaryotic ribosome. It is transcribed by RNA polymerase I as part of the 45S precursor that also contains 18S and 28S rRNA. The record is from RNAcentral. Lineage: Eukaryota; Viridiplantae; Streptophyta; Pinopsida; Cupressales; Cupressaceae.